GCCUUGACAGCACAGAUGUCUAGGCCGCCGAACAUUUCUGAGCAGCUGUCCACCCACAGCCUGUACCUGCAAAGACAGGACUGACGGGUCACACGGAAUACUCCAGCUCCCACAUCUAUCUGUGUGUCUGAGCCGUCCGACCUGGAAUGAGGAGAGAGCGUGGCUGCAGAUUUCUAAGAACCCAUUCUUUGAUCUUCUCCACCAGGCCUCACUGAGGCCUAGAGAGAGGGUCUCUCUAAAAAGGGAAGCGAAAUGAUCUUGUUCAUCUAGAGCUCCCAGAACUGGAACCCAGUCUAGUUCCCUCAUCUAACCAGAGCCUGGAGCAUGCUAGCAAGAGCAGGAUGAAGGUCCCACAUCCACUGGACUCCGACUCCAAAUAUGUGCCGUUCUGUGCCUGGCAGGCUUAACUUCUCUUCCCUUCUAAGCUCACCACACAUUGCUCAGGGAGGGAGAGCUGAACUCAUUUUUCAGAUGGAGAGGCUGAGGCUUGGAGACAGUCAUAAAUAGCAGAUUGGCUUCCAGUCCCAGAUCCUGUCUGUGACCAGGUUGUAAGCAAACACUCUCUCUCUCUCUCUCUCUCUCUCUCUCUCUCUCUCUCUCUCUCUCUCUCUCUCUCUCUCUCUCAACUUGUGUUUGUUUUUACUUGGCACAGAGGAGCCAGUAAGCAUGUAUGCUCACUCAUGAACAUACCUGUAAACAUGUUGGGAAAGACCACAUGUGUGCAUGCAUGAGUAUCAGGACCCAAGCCAACCUUGGGUGUCAUUCCUCUGGAGCCUUCCAUCUUGUUUUUUUUUUUUGAGACAAGGUCUCUCACUCAAUGUGAGACUUGCCACAUAAUGUAGUAGCCUGGCUAGCCAACAAGCCCCAGAAUCCUCCUGUCUCUGUCUCCCCUGUGCUGGGGUCACGGCUGCCAGCUGCCAUACCUGUUUGGCUUUUUUAUGUGGGAUCUGGGACUCAGACUCAUGCCCUUAUGUUUAUAUGGCAAGCACCUUAUGGCCUGACCUGUGACUUGGAUGCUUACUAUUGUUUCCUUCAUGAUUUUGGGGGAGCCUCUCCCUCCAGAUGCCUCAGUUUCUUUUAUUUGAUUCUUGUGCUUGGGAUGUACAAGGAUAAUGAUGCCCAUGUACAAAUAAAUGGCCAGCGUCAGGACUCUGUCCCGUGUUACUGGGUGGCUGCUACCUAUUCUUAGUUCUUCCUACAACUCAUGGAACACAAAGUGCUCCAGAAGCACAAUGCCUGAGGCACACUCGUGAGUCAAAGUCCUUCCUGGAGAGAUAGAAGCAGUCUAGACUUAGGACUGGAGGCAACUAGAUUCCAGAGGCUGUUUUCAAAUGAUGAACAUCCAGGUUGUCUGUGUGUAUCACCCCAUGGGCAGAAAUCCUAGGGGCCAGGAAAGACAGGAAAGGUUUCCUUCAACCAGGCAGACUAGCACUGAUCAAACAGUAUGAAAAUUGCUCAGGAGUCAGGCUCUCCAACAAGCAGGGAGCCAGGGAGGGGCUGGUCCUGAUCAAGGGUCUCCAGGGACUUUGGGACUGUAGGAACUGGACUAGGUAGGUCUGUCCAGGCCAUGAACACAGCUCUAGACUACACGAGGGACAGUGUAUGCUAGGCUGAGCAGACCCUGUCCUGUGAAGGUUCCUUUUGGAACCAUCCAUGUGGCUUGAGACUGAGCUGAAACACAGGAUGGUGGCAACCUGGACAUCUCCAUGGUGAUCUUCUGAAGCAAUGGAGAAGAUAUCUGCAAACAAUUGGGGACUGGUGAAGGCUCCGAUUUCUCUCACUGAGGCAGCAAGGCAGGAGCCAUAAGACUUGAAACCAAGACCUCAGUGUUCCACACUUACUUCUGGAACAUGGGGCAAACCACUUUAGUUCUCUGAACUGUCACCAUCUGUAAAUGUAGUUUUGACAGGUACCCUGCCGUUGAUACUGACCAGAUAGGAAAGCAAGCUGGGAAGCGCUCAGUGGGUGGGGACACCGGGCAGAGACUGAAGUGCCAUUCUCACCAGGUGCUGGUGCAUCUUUCCGCGUGCCCUUUGUCUCUUACCUU
Molecule: long non-coding RNA, 2047 nt
Organism: Mus musculus (house mouse)
Lineage: Eukaryota; Metazoa; Chordata; Mammalia; Rodentia; Muridae
Product: predicted gene, 51812
Exons: 3
Source: RefSeq, a predicted model, not a curated record